This 332-nucleotide unclassified non-coding RNA is filed under the name soil metagenome. RNAcentral describes it as "partial contains 5.8S ribosomal RNA, internal transcribed spacer 2, and large subunit ribosomal RNA". The stretch from base 1 to 120 matches the Rfam family "5.8S ribosomal RNA", at positions 35 to 154 of the family's 154-position model. The record is from RNAcentral.
GAUGAAGAACGUAGCAAAAUGCGAUAAGUAAUGUGAAUUGCAGAAUUCAGUGAAUCAUCAAAUCUUUGAACGCACAUUGCGCCCGCCAGUAUUCUGGCGGGCAUGCCUGUUCGAGCGUCAUUUCAACCCUCAAGCACAGCUUGGUGUUGGGACUCGCGUUAAUUCGCGUUCCUCAAAUUGAUUGGCGGUCACGUCGAGCUUCCAUAGCGUAGUAGUAAAACCCUCGUUACUGGUAAUCGUCGCGGCCACGCCGUUAAACCCCAACUUCUGAAUGUUGACCUCGGAUCAGGUAGGAAUACCCGCUGAACUUAAGCAUAUCAAUAAGCGGAGGA